UUAAAGAAAUUGACUGUGUGGACAGCAUGCUAUAUACAAUAAAUGAGAAGGUAUUUUUAGGGCUGCUGACUUUUUAGUUGAGGUUAUGUGGCAGUGUAUUUCUUCUACAUUA
Small nucleolar RNA from Bos taurus (domestic cattle), 112 nucleotides. Ensembl annotates it as Small nucleolar RNA U109. The record is from Ensembl. NCBI's taxonomy places the organism in Eukaryota, Metazoa, Chordata, Mammalia, Artiodactyla, Bovidae.